This 515-nucleotide ribosomal RNA is filed under the name uncultured bacterium. RNAcentral describes it as "partial 16S ribosomal RNA". It matches the Rfam family "Bacterial small subunit ribosomal RNA", at positions 28 to 523 of the family's 1533-position model. The record is from RNAcentral.
GAUGAACGCUGGCGGCGUGCCUAAUACAUGCAAGUCGAGCGUAUGGAUUAAGAGCUUGCUCUUAUGAAGUUAGCGGCGGACGGGUGAGUAACACGUGGGUAACCUGCCCAUAAGACUGGGAUAACUCCGGGAAACCGGGGCUAAUACCGGAUAACAUUUUGAACCGCAUGGUUCGAAAUUGAAAGGCGGCUUCGGCUGUCACUUAUGGAUGGACCCGCGUCGCAUUAGCUAGUUGGUGAGGUAACGGCUCACCAAGGCAACGAUGCGUAGCCGACCUGAGAGGGUGAUGGGCCACACUGGGACUGAGACACGGCCCAGACUCCUACGGGAGGCAGCAGUAGGGAAUCUUCCGCAAUGGACGAAAGUCUGACAGAGCAACGCCGCGUGAGUGAUGAAGGCUUUCGGGUCGUAAAACUCUGUUGUUAGGGAAGAACAAGUGCUAGUUGAAUAAGCUGGCACCUUGACGGUACCUAACCAGAAAGCCACGGCUAACUACGUGCCAGCCGCCGGGGUAA